The submitters of this non-coding RNA (86 nucleotides) gave its source as unclassified sequences. The record is from Rfam.
AAUGUAAUUGGAGGCAUUGAACCUGUCAGCCUAAAUGGGCGCCAUGGUCGGCGGGUGAGCUAGUGGCGCAACCAGCCAACUUACUU